UGGGGAAUUGUUCGCAAUGGGCGCAAGCCUGACGACGCAACGCCGCGUGGAGGAUGACGGUCUUCGGAUUGUAAACUCCUGUUGCUCGGGACGAAUGGCGCCGGCCGAAUACGCCGGCGUGUGACGGUACCGGGUGAGGAAGCCCCGGCUAACUCUGUGCCAGCAGCCGCGGUAAUACAGAGGGGGCAAGCGUUGUUCGGAAUUACUGGGCGUAAAGGGCGCGUAGGCGGCCGGCUAAGUCGAACGUGAAAUCCCUGGGCUCAACCCAGGAACUGCGUCCGAUACUGGUCGGCUUGAAUCCGGGAGAGGGAUGCGGAAUUCCAGGUGUAGCGGUGAAAUGCGUAGAUAUCUGGAGGAACACCGGUGGCGAAGGCGGCAUCCUGGACCGGCAUUGACGCUGAGGCGCGAAAGCCAGGGGAGCAAACGG
This 427-nucleotide ribosomal RNA is filed under the name uncultured bacterium. RNAcentral's name for it is "bacterial SSU rRNA". It matches the Rfam family "Bacterial small subunit ribosomal RNA", at positions 355 to 775 of the family's 1533-position model. The record is from RNAcentral.